GUGCCCGUAAUCUUGGUUGCAGAGUUUGAAAAAAAAAAGGUUUUGUUUGCUUUACGUUCUUAAUUCUUAUGGCCAAUUUUGACCUUUCAAGAAAGCCAGAGAUGUUUGCCGGACUGCAGUUCACCAGCUCUCCGGUCACCAGCUGCCGUGUUUAGGAAAGGCAAAGGGAUGAGUUUACAAGAAUGAGAUUGCAGCUUAGAAUUCCUGCAAUUGAAAGGGUUUUAUUUUUUACAUGUGAAGAUUCUAUACAGUAUUUUGAAAAUGGAUUUCAUAUUCUUAAAGUUCUUUCCAACUGCUGAGGAGUCAAUGAAUUACUAUAAUGAGAAAUGAUGUGUUGAUGGAAAAGGACUUGUUCUGCCCAGUCAGAUUGUAAAAGGUAUGUCAAAUAUUAUAUAUGGAGGGACCAAAUCCAGUUUCAAGUGCACAAGGAAGCACGUCAGAAAAUUCAGAUUUCUUCAAGGACUUGAAACAGAUUCAGCAACUGUGAAAAAAAAUCAGACAAGCGAUUGACAACCAAACUGAAGUUACUGUACAACUCAUUAAUUAUACAAAGACCGGUAAGCAAGUCUAAUGUUUCUGCACAGAAAACUAAUUUAAUAGGCAAAGUUAAUAUAAAAUGAUAGGAAAUGUUAGCAAUUUUUUCCCUUAUUAGCACUAUUUAGUUCAUUAAAAGGAAACAAAAUACUAUGAAGCUCGGUAGUGCUGCAGUUAUUAUUCCUAUUAUCUUUAACCUA
Molecule: non-coding RNA, 734 nt
Organism: Arachis ipaensis
Lineage: Eukaryota; Viridiplantae; Streptophyta; Magnoliopsida; Fabales; Fabaceae
Source: RefSeq, a predicted model, not a curated record